GGGUGUGUAGCUCAGCUCUGUAGCGCAUGCUUUGCAAGUAUGACGCGCGGGUUCGAUCCCUGGCAUCUCCA
This 71-nucleotide transfer RNA is filed under the name Loxodonta africana (African savanna elephant). It matches the Rfam family "tRNA". Rfam says of the family: Transfer RNA (tRNA) molecules are approximately 80 nucleotides in length. The record is from Rfam by way of RNAcentral. Lineage: Eukaryota; Metazoa; Chordata; Mammalia; Proboscidea; Elephantidae.